GGACGCGCCCCGCUGUGCGGCCCCCAGGCUAAGUGCCCCUCUCCCGCCGUCGCCCUAGGCGCGUUCGCCGCAGGAGCCCCGGGGCCGUGCACGACGCCACUCUGCCAGAGCGCAUAGGAAACUUGGACACAAGAAGACUGCCAUUUACAAGUGAAGGAAGAGCCUUGGAGGAAACCACCCCUGCUGACACCUCGCUCUCAGACUUCGGGGCUCCAGAACUGGAAGACAGUGGUUUUCUAUGUAAGCCAACCAGUCUGUGGCACUUUGUUAUGACAGACCUAGCAAACUAAUACAAAUGUCAAGGUUU
Molecule: non-coding RNA, 307 nt
Organism: Manis javanica (Malayan pangolin)
Lineage: Eukaryota; Metazoa; Chordata; Mammalia; Pholidota; Manidae
Source: RefSeq, a predicted model, not a curated record